UACGUAGGGUGCGAGCGUUAAUCGGAAUUACUGGGCGUAAAGCGUGCGCAGGCGGUUUUUUAAGACAGGCGUGAAAUCCCCGGGCUUAACCUGGGAACUGCGCUUGUGACUGGAAGGCUAGAGUACGGCAGAGGGGGGUGGAAUUCCACGUGUAGCAGUGAAAUGCGUAGAGAUGUGGAGGAACACCGAUGGCGAAGGCAGCCCCCUGGGCCGAUACUGACGCUCAUGCACGAAAGCGUGGGGAGCAAACAGGAUUAGAUACCCUGGUAGUCCACGCCCUAAACGAUGUCAACUAGUUGUUGGGUGGGUAAAACCAUUUAGUAACGUAGCUAACGCGAGAAGUUGACCGCCUGGGGAGUACGGCCGCAAGGUUAAA
Molecule: ribosomal RNA, 376 nt
Filed under: uncultured bacterium
Lineage: Bacteria
Description: bacterial SSU rRNA
Rfam family: Bacterial small subunit ribosomal RNA
Source: RNAcentral